This 71-nucleotide transfer RNA is filed under the name Pangasius djambal. RNAcentral's name for it is "tRNA-Glu". Lineage: Eukaryota; Metazoa; Chordata; Actinopteri; Siluriformes; Pangasiidae. The record is from RNAcentral.
UCCUUGGAGGACUAGUGGUUAGGCCUCGGUGAUCUCACCGCAGCGGCCCAGGUUCGAUUCAGGCCGGGGAA